RNAcentral lists this ribosomal RNA (253 nucleotides) under uncultured bacterium. RNAcentral's name for it is "partial 16S ribosomal RNA". It matches the Rfam family "Bacterial small subunit ribosomal RNA", at positions 524 to 776 of the family's 1533-position model. The record is from RNAcentral.
UACGUAGGGGGCAAGCGUUGUCCGGAAUCAUUGGGCGUAAAGAGCGUGUAGGCGGCCCGGUAAGUCCGCUGUGAAAGUCCAGGGCUCAACCCUGGGAUGCCGGUGGAUACUGUCGGGCUCGAGUCCGGAAGAGGAGUGUGGAAUUCCUGGUGUAGCGGUGAAAUGCGCAGAUAUCAGGAGGAACACCGGUGGCGAAGGCGGAUCUCUGGGCCUGUCCUGACGCUGAGGCGCGAAAGCUAGGGGAGCGAACAGG